RNAcentral lists this ribosomal RNA (497 nucleotides) under uncultured bacterium. RNAcentral's name for it is "partial 16S ribosomal RNA". It matches the Rfam family "Bacterial small subunit ribosomal RNA", at positions 28 to 507 of the family's 1533-position model. The record is from RNAcentral.
GAUGAACGCUGGCGGCGUGCCUAAUACAUGCAAGUCGAGCGAACAGACGAGGAGCUUGCUCCUCUGACGUUAGCGGCGGACGGGUGAGUAACACGUGGAUAACCUACCUAUAAGACUGGGAUAACUUCGGGAAACCGGAGCUAAUACCGGAUAAUAUAUUGAACCGCAUGGUUCAAUAGUGAAAGACGGUUUUGCUGUCACUUAUAGAUGGAUCCGCGCCGCAUUACCUAGUUGGUAAGGUAACGGCUUACCAAGGCAACGAUGCGUAGCCGACCUGGGAGGGUGAUCGGCCACACUGGAACUGAGACACGGUCCAGACUCCUACGGGAGGCAGCAGUAGGGAAUCUUCCGCAAUGGGCGAAAGCCUGACGGAGAAACGCCGCGUGAGUGAUGAAGGUCUUCGGAUCGUAAAACUCUGUUAUUAGGGAAGAACAAAUGUGUAAGUAACUAUGCACGUCUUGACGGUACCUAAUCAGAAAGCCACGGCUAACUACGUG